GUGUGUAACAACUCACCUGCCGAAGCAACCAGCCCUGAAAAUGGAUGGCGCUCCAGCGUCGAGCCCAUACCUGGCCGCCCGGGCAGAAAUGUUCGCACAGGGCAUGUAGGCCCGGGCGAGUAGGAGGUGUCGCGGUGGUGGCGGCGAAGGUGUCUGGCGUGAGCCAGCCUGAAGCCUCCAGUCCAGUGCAGAUCUUGGUGGUAGUAG
Molecule: ribosomal RNA, 207 nt
Filed under: Ditylum brightwellii
Lineage: Eukaryota; Bacillariophyta; Thalassiosirophyceae; Lithodesmiales; Lithodesmiaceae
Description: partial Eukaryotic large subunit ribosomal RNA
Rfam family: Eukaryotic large subunit ribosomal RNA
Source: RNAcentral